AUUGAACGCUAGCGGGAUGCUUUACACAUGCAAGUCGAACGGCAGCGCGGACUUCGGUCUGGCGGCGAGUGGCGAACGGGUGAGUAAUGUAUCGGAACGUGCCCAGUAGCGGGGGAUAACUACGCGAAAGCGUAGCUAAUACCGCAUACGCCCUACGGGGGAAAGCAGGGGAUCGUAAGACCUUGCACUAUUGGAGCGGCCGAUAUCGGAUUAGCUAGUUGGUGAGGUAACGGCUCACCAAGGCGACGAUCCGUAGCUGGUUUGAGAGGACGACCAGCCACACCGGGGACGGGACACCGCCCCGAGCCCCUCGGGGGGGACGCGGGGGGAAAUUUUGGCAAAUGGGGGAAACCCUGACCCGGCCACCCCGGGGGGGGGAUGAAGGCCUUCGGGUUGAAAAGCACUUUUGGCAGGAAAAAAACGUCGCGGGCUAAUACCCCGGGGAACUGCCGGUCCCUGAAGAAUAAGCCCCGGCUAACUCCGU
Molecule: ribosomal RNA, 484 nt
Filed under: uncultured bacterium
Lineage: Bacteria
Description: partial 16S ribosomal RNA
Rfam family: Bacterial small subunit ribosomal RNA
Source: RNAcentral